RNAcentral lists this signal recognition particle RNA (253 nucleotides) under Brassica napus (rape). RNAcentral's name for it is "SRP RNA RNase_MRP". It matches the Rfam family "RNase MRP". Rfam says of the family: RNase MRP is an enzymatically active ribonucleoprotein with two distinct roles in eukaryotes. In mitochondria it plays a direct role in the initiation of mitochondrial DNA replication. In the nucleus it is involved in precursor rRNA processing, where it cleaves the internal transcribed spacer 1 between 18S and 5.8S rRNAs. The record is from RNAcentral. Lineage: Eukaryota; Viridiplantae; Streptophyta; Magnoliopsida; Brassicales; Brassicaceae.
UCGUCUGUGGAAGAAGUGAUUGGACUAUUGGCUUGUCGAAGCUUUGGUCCAGGAAAGUCGCCGGGCCACCUAUCCGCAGAGAUGCGGCCUCGGCACAACGAGAUAGUCUUCUGCUUGGAGAGACAUUAACCGGCUGAGACGCGUGUGGAGCCUUCACGGUCUCUCCAGCAAAGAUAUUCAUGGCCAGUGUAAACUGUAAUUCACUUGGGUCCCCUCAAGGGAUUCCCCAGAACGGGGCUUACUUCCACUGACA